UCUAAGUCAGAAUCCGGGCUAGACCGACGCAUGCGCUCGUCGCCCGUUUGCCGACCCGCAGUAGGGGCCAUUUGGCCCCCAAGGGCACGUGUCGUUGGCUAAGCCGUCGUGGCGGAAGGGUCACGGUGGCCGCCUUGAAUUACAAUUCCGAUCGAGCGGCGAGCUGAAUCCUUUGCAGACGACUUAAAAUACGCGACGGGGUAUUGUAAGGGGUAGAGUGGCCUUGCUGCCACGAUCCUCUGAGAUUCAGCCCUUUGUCGCUCCGAUUCGU
Molecule: non-coding RNA, 271 nt
Filed under: Ipomoea nil (Japanese morning glory)
Lineage: Eukaryota; Viridiplantae; Streptophyta; Magnoliopsida; Solanales; Convolvulaceae
Description: Eukaryotic large subunit ribosomal RNA
Rfam family: Eukaryotic large subunit ribosomal RNA
Source: Rfam by way of RNAcentral